UUAAAUUUGUAAGGGCGUAUGGUGGAUGCCUUGGCAUUAGAAGCUGAUGAAGGACGUGACUAACUACGAUAUGCUUCGGGGAGAUGUACGUAAUCUUUGAUCCGGAGAUUUCCGAAUGGGGGAACCCACUAGUGGUAAUGCACUAGUAUCACAUAAUGAAUAUAUAGUUAUGUAGAAAGCAACCCAGUGAACUGAAACAUCUUAGUAACUGGAGGAACAGAAAGAAAAAUCGAUUUCCUUAGUAGUGGCGAGCGAAAUGGAAAGAGCCCAAACCAACUUUAGAGUUGGGGUUGUAGGACCUCUCUAUAAGAGUUACAAAUUCAUAACAUAGUUGAACUUUUCUGGAAAGUUAGACGAAACAAGGUGAUAGUCCUGUAAACGAAAUGUUAUGAACUCUUUGAGGUAUCCUGAGUACAACGAGACACGAGAAAUCUUGUUGGAAUCUGCGGGGACCAUCCCGUAAGGCUAAAUACUCUCUAAUGACCGAUAGUGAACAAGUACCGUGAGGGAAAGGUGAAAAGAACCCCGGGAGGGGAGUGAAAUAGAAACUGAAACCGUAUGCUUACAAAAAGUUCGAGCACAUUAAUGUGUGAGAGCGUGCCUUUUGCAGAAUGAACCGGCGAGUUAUUGUAUUAUGCAAGGUUAAGUCGAACAGAUGGAGCCGAAGCGAAAGCGAGUCUGAAUAGGGCGCUUAAGUAUGAUGCAAUAGACCCGAAACCGAGUGAUCUAGCCAUGAGCAGGUUGAAGUUGGGGUAAGACCCAAUGGAGGACCGAACCGAUAUGCCCGGAAACGCGUACGGAUGACUUGUGGUUAGCGGAGAAAUUCCAAACGAACUCGGAGAUAGCUGGUUCUCCCCGAAAUAGGUUUAGGCCUAGCCUUGAUUGAAUCUGCCCGGAGGUAGAGCACUGAAUGUGCGAUGGCGUCGUCUAGAUGUACUGAGUACAAUCAAACUCCGAAUGCUGGGUAGUACUAAUCAGGAGUCACUGUAUGGGUGAUAACGUCCAUACGGGAGAGGAAAAGAAUCCGGAUCGCCAGCUAAGGUCCCAAAAUUUGUGUUAAGUGGGAAAGGAUGUAGAGUUGUCAAAACAGCUAGGAGGUUGGCUUAGAAGCAGCCACCCUUUAAAGAGUGCGUAAUAGCUCACUAGUCGAGUGACACUGCGCCGAAGAUGUACCGGGGCUAAACACAAUACCGAAGCUGCGGACUUGCAUGUAAGUGCAAGUGGUAGGGGAGCGUUCUAAGGGCUGUGAAGGUAGACCGUAAGGACUGCUGGAGCGCUUAGAAGUGAGAAUGCCGGUGUGAGUAACGAAAAUUGGGUGAGAAUCCCAUUCACCGUUUGACUAAGGGUUCCUGGGUAAAGUUCGUCUUCCCAGGGUAAGUCAGGACCUAAGAUGAGGCUGAAAAGCGUAGUCGAUGGACAACAGGUUGAUAUUCCUGUACCACCUAUAUGACUGAAGGAGUGACGGAGAAAGCUAGUGAGAGCCAGUUAAUGGAUUCUGGUUUAAGUGCGUAGGCUAGUAUGUUGGCAAAUCCGCAAUACUAUAACAGCUGAAACAUGAUGGGGAAGAGAGUCUUCGGACAAUCGAACUUUCAUGAUGCUAUGCUUCCAAGAAAAGCUUCUAGGGUUAAUCGUAUAGGUGCCUGUACCGACAACCGACACAGGUGGUCAAGGAGAGUAUCCUAAGGUGAGCGAGAGAACUAUGGUUAAGGAACUCGGCAAAAUGACCCCGUAACUUCGGGAGAAGGGGUGGUCUAGCGAUAGACCCGCAGUGAAUAGGCCCAGGCAACUGUUUACCAAAAACACAGGUCUCUGCUAACACGUAAGUGGAUGUAUAGGGGCUGACGCCUGCCCAGUGCUGGAAGGUUAAAGAGAUUAGUUAGUAUGACGUAAGUCGAUAAUACGAAGCUUUGAACUGAAGCCCCAGUGAACGGCGGCCGUAACUAUAACGGUCCUAAGGUAGCGAAAUUCCUUGUCAGGUAAG
This 1981-nucleotide ribosomal RNA is filed under the name metagenome. RNAcentral's name for it is "bacterial LSU rRNA". It matches the Rfam family "Bacterial large subunit ribosomal RNA", at positions 1 to 1980 of the family's 2925-position model. The record is from RNAcentral.